Molecule: ribosomal RNA, 468 nt
Filed under: uncultured bacterium
Lineage: Bacteria
Description: partial 16S ribosomal RNA
Rfam family: Bacterial small subunit ribosomal RNA
Source: RNAcentral
GACGAACGCUGGCGGCGUGCUUAACACAUGCAAGUCGAACGGAAAGGCCCGGCGUUUGUGGGGUGCUCGAGUGGCGAACGGGUGAGUAACACGUGAGUAACCUGCCCUUGACUGUGGGAUAACUUCAGGAAACUGGGGCUAAUACCGCAUAGGAGCUCCUGCUGCAUGGUGGUGGUUGGAAAGUUUCGGCGGUGGGGGAUGGACUGGCGGCUUAUCAGCUGGUUGGUGGGGUAGUGGCUUACCAAGGCUUUGACGGGUAGCCGGCCUGAGAGGGUGACCGGCCACAUUGGGACUGAGGUACGGCCCAGACUCCUACGGGAGGCAGCAGUGGGGAAUAUUGCACAAUGGGCGGAAGCCUGAUGCAGCAACGCCGCGUGCGGGAUGACGGCCUUCGGGUUGUAAACCGAUUUCGCCUGUGACGAAGCGUGAGUGACGGUAAUGGGUAAAGAAGCACCGGCUAACUACGUG